AUGGUAGUCACUACCACCACCAUAUGCAAUGAUAGUGACAAGUUUACCAAAGAUGAUGGACUUGCAAAGAAUCAAGGUGUCCAGUCCCAUGUGCAGCUGCAAGAGUCUGCUCCUAACCUGGUGAAGCCAAUCAGAUCCUGCCCCUCACCUGUGCUGUGUCUGAUUACUCCAUUACCACUAAUGACUGUUGAGCCUGGAUCCGCCAGCCCACAGGAAGGGGCUGGAGUGGAUGGGGAGGUAUGUUAUAAUGGUAACACUUACUACAGCUCAUCCCUGAAGAGGUGCCCCUCCAUCUCCAGAGACACAUCCAAGAACGAGUUCUCCAUGCAGCUGAGCUCUGUGACCACAGAGGACACAGCUACGUAUUACUGUGCAAGAAGCACAGUGAGGAAACUUCAGUAUGAGCCCUGA
This is a non-coding RNA of Castor canadensis (American beaver), 411 nucleotides long. Lineage: Eukaryota; Metazoa; Chordata; Mammalia; Rodentia; Castoridae. The record is from the annotation of a RefSeq genome assembly.